AGAAUCAACGCUGGCGGCGUGCCUAACACAUGCAAGCCGAACGCGACUGGGGACUUCGGUCCUCAGUUGAGUGGCGAACGGGUGAGUAACACGUGGGUGAUCUACCUCCGAGCGGGGGAUAACGUUCCGAAAGGAACGCUAAUACCGCAUGACGUCCUGGGUUUAAAGACCUGGAGACCAAAGCUAGGGACCGCAAGGCCUGGCACUUGAAGAGGAGCCCGCGUCCGAUUAGCUAGUUGGCGGGGUAAUGGCCCACCAAGGCGACGAUCGGUA
This 273-nucleotide ribosomal RNA is filed under the name uncultured soil bacterium. RNAcentral describes it as "partial 16S ribosomal RNA". It matches the Rfam family "Bacterial small subunit ribosomal RNA", at positions 26 to 285 of the family's 1533-position model. The record is from RNAcentral.